UCCUACGGGGGGCAGCAGUGGGGAAUAUUGCACAAUGGGGGGAACCCUGAUGCAGCGACGCCGCGUGAGUGGAGAAGUAUUUCGGUAUGUAAAGCUCUAUCAGCAGGGAAGAAAAUGACGGUACCUGACUAAGAAGCCCCGGCUGACUACGUGCCAGCAGCCGCGGUAAUACGUAGGGGGCAAGCGUUAUCCGGAUUUAUUGGGUUUAAAGGGUGCGUAGGCGGAAUGCCAAGUCAGCGGUAAAAUCGCGGGGCUCAACCUCGCUCCGCCGUUGAAACUGGCGUUCUUGAGUGGGCGAGAAGUAU
This 305-nucleotide ribosomal RNA is filed under the name uncultured bacterium. RNAcentral describes it as "bacterial SSU rRNA". It matches the Rfam family "Bacterial small subunit ribosomal RNA", at positions 337 to 660 of the family's 1533-position model. The record is from RNAcentral.